This 1397-nucleotide ribosomal RNA is filed under the name Enterococcus hirae. RNAcentral's name for it is "bacterial SSU rRNA". It matches the Rfam family "Bacterial small subunit ribosomal RNA". The record is from RNAcentral. Lineage: Bacteria; Bacillati; Bacillota; Bacilli; Lactobacillales; Enterococcaceae.
CUCCACCGGAAAAAGAGGAGUGGCGAACGGGUGAGUAACACGUGGGUAACCUGCCCAUCAGAAGGGGAUAACACUUGGAAACAGGUGCUAAUACCGUAUAACAAUCGAAACCGCAUGGUUUUGAUUUGAAAGGCGCUUUCGGGUGUCGCUGAUGGAUGGACCCGCGGUGCAUUAGCUAGUUGGUGAGGUAACGGCUCACCAAGGCGACGAUGCAUAGCCGACCUGAGAGGGUGAUCGGCCACAUUGGGACUGAGACACGGCCCCAAACUUCCUACGGGAGGCAGCCAGUAGGGAAUUCUUCGGCAAUGGACGAAAGUCUGACCGAGCAACCCCCGCCUGAGUGAAGAAGGUUUUCGGAUCGUAAAACUCUGUUGUUAGAGAAGAACAAGGAUGAGAGUAACUGUUCAUCCCUUGACGGUAUCUAACCAGAAAGCCACGGCUAACUACGUGCCAGCAGCCGCGGUAAUACGUAGGUGGCAAGCGUUGUCCGGAUUUAUUGGGCGUAAAGCGAGCGCAGGCGGUUUCUUAAGUCUGAUGUGAAAGCCCCCGGCUCAACCGGGGAGGGUCAUUGGAAACUGGGAGACUUGAGUGCAGAAGAGGAGAGUGGAAUUCCAUGUGUAGCGGUGAAAUGCGUAGAUAUAUGGAGGAACACCAGUGGCGAAGGCGGCUCUCUGGUCUGUAACUGACGCUGAGGCUCGAAAGCGUGGGGAGCAAACAGGAUUAGAUACCCUGGUAGUCCACGCCGUAAACGAUGAGUGCUAAGUGUUGGAGGGUUUCCGCCCUUCAGUGCUGCAGCUAACGCAUUAAGCACUCCGCCUGGGGAGUACGACCGCAAGGUUGAAACUCAAAGGAAUUGACGGGGGCCCGCACAAGCGGUGGAGCAUGUGGUUUAAUUCGAAGCAACGCGAAGAACCUUACCAGGUCUUGACAUCCUUUGACCACUCUAGAGAUAGAGCUUCCCCUUCGGGGGCAAAGUGACAGGUGGUGCAUGGUUGUCGUCAGCUCGUGUCGUGAGAUGUUGGGUUAAGUCCCGCAACGAGCGCAACCCUUAUUGUUAGUUGCCAUCAUUUAGUUGGGCACUCUAGCAAGACUGCCGGUGACAAACCGGAGGAAGGUGGGGAUGACGUCAAAUCAUCAUGCCCCUUAUGACCUGGGCUACAACACGUGCUACAAUGGGAAGUACAACGAGUCGCAAAGUCGCGAGGCUAAGCUAAUCUCUUAAAGCUUCUCUCAGUUCGGAUUGUAGGCUGCAACUCGCCUACAUGAAGCCGGAAUCGCUAGUAAUCGCGGAUCAGCACGCCGCGGUGAAUACGUUCCCGGGCCUUGUACACACCGCCCGUCACACCACGAGAGUUUGUAACACCCGAAGUCGGUGAGGUAACCUUUUGGAGCCAGCC